This 389-nucleotide ribosomal RNA is filed under the name uncultured bacterium. RNAcentral's name for it is "bacterial SSU rRNA". It matches the Rfam family "Bacterial small subunit ribosomal RNA", at positions 28 to 417 of the family's 1533-position model. The record is from RNAcentral.
GACGAACGCUGGCGGCGUGCUUAACACAUGCAAGUCGAGCGGUAAGGCCCUUUCGGGGGUACACGAGCGGCGAACGGGUGAGUAACACGUGGGUGACCUGCCCUUAGCUCUGGGAUAAGCCUGGGAAACUGGGUCUAAUACCGGAUAUGACUCCAUGACGCAUGUUGUGGGGUGGAAAGCCUUGUGCGGCUAGGGAUGGGCCCGCGGCCUAUCAGCUUGUUGGUGGGGUGANGGCCUACCAAGGCGACGACGGGUAGCCGGCCUGAGAGGGCGACCGGCCACACUGGGACUGAGACACGGGCCCAGACUCCUACGGGAGGCAGCAGUGGGGAAUCUUGCGCAAUGGGCGAAAGCCUGACGCAGCGACGCCGCGUGAGGGAUGACGGCCU